Molecule: ribosomal RNA, 540 nt
Filed under: fungal sp. CS-2008a
Lineage: Eukaryota; Fungi
Description: eukaryotic LSU rRNA
Rfam family: Eukaryotic large subunit ribosomal RNA
Source: RNAcentral
UGCAUAUCAAAAGCGGAGGAAAAGAAACCAACAGGGAUUGCCUCAGUAACGGCGAGUGAAGCGGCAAAAGCUCAAAUUUGAAACCCUCGGGAUUGUAAUUUGAAGAUUUGGCAUUGGAGAAAGCUAACCCAAGUUACUUGGAAUAGUACGUCAUAGAGGGUGACAACCCCGUCUGGCUAACCGUUCUCCAUGUAUUGCCUUAUCAAAGAGUCGAGUUGUUUGGGAAUGCAGCUCAAAGUGGGUGGUAAACUCCAUCUAAAGCUAAAUACUGGUGAGAGACCGAUAGCGAACAAGUACUGUGAAGGAAAGGUGAAAAGAACUUUGAAAAGAGAGUGAAAUAGUAUGUGAAAUUGUUGAUAGGGAAGGAAAUGAGUGGAGAGUGGUUUAGGUUUCAGCCUUCUUUCGAGGGGGUGUACUACCAACGCCGAGUCAUUGUCAGCGAGACAGGGGUUAUAAACGGGUUGCCUUCUGGCUUCUCACCUAACCCCUCCACUGCCGACAACGACAUAAUCCACCCAUUUCACCCGUCUUGAACAACGG